GUAGGUGAACCUGCGGAAGGAUCAUUUUUUGGAUGGGGUGGUGGAAUGGAGAUUUUGGGGGAGUAAGAAAGACGAGGUGGGCACUCGUGGUUUUUGACUUUGGACGCAACACAAGGGAUCGCUGGGCUCGU
This 131-nucleotide unclassified non-coding RNA is filed under the name rhizosphere metagenome. RNAcentral describes it as "partial ribosomal RNA internal transcribed spacer region". The record is from RNAcentral.